CAGCCGCGGUAAUACGUAGGGUGCAAGCGUUGUCCGGAAUUAUUGGGCGUAAAGAGCUCGUAGGCGGUCUGUCGCGUCUGCUGUGAAAACUCGGGGCUUAACCCCGGGCCUGCAGUGGGUACGGGCAGACUAGAGUGCGGUAGGGGAGACUGGAAUUCCUGGUGUAGCGGUGAAAUGCGCAGAUAUCAGGAGGAACACCGGUGGCGAAGGCGGGUCUCUGGGCCGUAACUGACGCUGAGGAGCGAAAGCAUGGGGAGCGAACAGGAUUAGAUACCCUGGUAGUCCAUGCCGUAAACGUUGGGCGCUAGGUGUGGGGCUCUUUCCACGAGUUCCGUGCCGCAGCUAACGCAUUAA
Molecule: ribosomal RNA, 354 nt
Filed under: uncultured soil bacterium
Lineage: Bacteria
Description: bacterial SSU rRNA
Rfam family: Bacterial small subunit ribosomal RNA
Source: RNAcentral